Molecule: ribosomal RNA, 253 nt
Filed under: uncultured bacterium
Lineage: Bacteria
Description: partial 16S ribosomal RNA
Rfam family: Bacterial small subunit ribosomal RNA
Source: RNAcentral
UACAGAGGGUGCGAGCGUUAAUCGGAAUCACUGGGCGUAAAGCGUGCGUAGACGGUUAUUUAAGUCGGGUGUGAAAGCCCCGGGCUCAACCUGGGAAUUGCAUUCGAGACUGAAUAGCUAGGGUACGGUAGAGGGAAGCGGAAUUUCCGGUGUAGCGGUGAAAUGCGUAGAUAUCGGAAGGAACAUCAGUGGCGAAAGCGGCUUCCUGGACCGGUACCGACGUUCAGGCACGAAAGCGUGGGGAGCAAACAGG